GGGGUCUCUGAUUUAUCCGGCGAGGGGAGGCGGAGAGUUGUAGCUGGCCUCUAGGGGCAUGUGCACGCUCUCUUCCGGACCUUUCGCCGUAUGGGCGCGGGGCGACCCGCGUCUUCAUAUACCUCUUCGUGUAGAAAGUCUUUGAAUGUUUUACCAUCAUCGAGUCGCGACUUCUAGGAGACGCGAUUCUUUGAGAAAAAAGUUAUUACAACUUUCAGCAACGGAUCUCUUGGCUCUCGCAUCGAUGAAGAACGCAGCGAAUCGCGAUAUGUAAUGUGAAUUGCAGAUCUACAGUGAAUCAUCGAAUCUUUGAACGCACCUUGCGCUCCUCGGUGUUCCGAGGAGCAUGCCUGUUUGAGUGUCAGUAAAUUCUCAACCCCUCUCGAUUUGCUUCGAGCGGGUGCUUGGAUGUUGGGGGCUGCCGGAGACACUGGAUUCGUCCAGGACUCGGGCUCCUCUUAAAUGAAUUGGCUCGCGGUCGACUUUCGACUUUGCAUGACAAGGCCUUUGGCGUGAUAAUGAUCGCCGUUCGCCGAAGUGCAAGACAGAAUGGUCCCGUGCCUCUAAUGCGUCGACGCCUCUAGGGGCGUCUUCCUCAUUGACGUUUGACCUCAAAUCAGGUAGGACUACCCGCUGAACUUAAGCAUAUCAAAAGCCCGGAGGAA
Molecule: ribosomal RNA, 665 nt
Filed under: Suillus luteus
Lineage: Eukaryota; Fungi; Basidiomycota; Agaricomycetes; Boletales; Suillaceae
Description: eukaryotic LSU rRNA
Rfam family: 5.8S ribosomal RNA (bases 210-364)
Source: RNAcentral